ACAGGCCCUAAUGGGUUGUUAAACUGCUUUGUACGGGAAAAAACCUCCGGUCGUGAACCGGAGCUGAUGGUACCGUAAGAAUAAGCAUCGGCUAACUCCGUGC
Molecule: ribosomal RNA, 103 nt
Filed under: uncultured bacterium
Lineage: Bacteria
Description: partial 16S ribosomal RNA
Source: RNAcentral